GUAAUCAGGCCGGAAAUAAAUAAUCUUUGUCCAGCUUUGAGUGCAUCGCUAAUGGGUGAGGAAUACUGUAGUUUUCCGGGAUUUGCAAAGGAAAAGGAGUAAUAAUCUCAAAUGCUCCAAAUGAAGUGAACAAACAAACACAACUCAUUCCAGAUAUUUAACAAGGACGAACAAGGACAGCAAACUUGAAAAGCCAAAGCAACAUAGCAGUCACAAUUUCUGCAGAUAAAAAAGACAGAAUUAGUUGAAAUCUAUAUGUUGAAAAAAAAUUGAAAUAUAAUAUUGACCAAAAAAAAAAAAAAAGCUCUACAUGGUAUGGGUUUGGUGCCUGAUUUCAUGACUUUACACUGAAAUCAAAGCUGUUGCAGCAGCCUCGCUUUAGAACAGUGACUCAAGCUCCUAACAUGCUCCAGAAGGAAACAGGGCUGGACAAUUCGGACCAGGUUUUGUUAUUGCAGUUACCCAAAGACUGCAACUGGUUCACUGGGGCAGAAGACUCUUUCUCUCUUCGGCAAAACUCAUAAAGAGAGCUUGGUUUUUGAAAAGCAGCAAAUCAGAUGUCGAGAAACUGCAAUUCCUAUUAAGAACACUUGACUGUUUACUCAGCAAGAGAACUUCAGGCUCAGGCUGCAUCAAUCUAAAUGCGUUUCAGGACGUCAGUCUUUUGAAAAGUGCAGACUGAAGAAGAGCUGAUGCCAAAAAGAAGGGAUCCUGAAAAAAAGUGAUGUCAGAAAGAAGGGGACUGGGAAAGAAAAAGGUAAAGAUCCUGGCUAGAGGAAAGAUCCUGAAAGUGGGGGAAGAUCCUGAAGAUCGGAGAGCUGUGUGGAGAAGAAUGCUGGGGGAUGUCCAGGGACCUUGGCCAGUUAAUGUCCAAGACUGGCAACUCUCUGUGCUUUUCCUGGGGCUUGUGGUUGAUUUCUUCAUUCUGGAGUGCGAAGACCCUCAAAUUCCUAUCCUCUGCUCCAGCUGUGGGCUGCUGGGUCUUAAGUAUGUACUUAAAUGCCUGAAUUAGGACUCUGGAAGACUGAGCAGCAAAAAGAAAAGCAAAUAUUUGAUUUGAUUGAUUUUAAUUCACCUUUGGGAAUGAAGAUUCGGACCAGUUUGGACCCCAUGAAUACAAAAACAGGUGCAGCAAAGGAGUGUGUGGCCAGUGGAAAAUUAUUCCCAUCUUUUUCUGUCUGUGAGAAGGCUACUUAA
Molecule: long non-coding RNA, 1197 nt
Filed under: Struthio camelus australis
Lineage: Eukaryota; Metazoa; Chordata; Aves; Struthioniformes; Struthionidae
Description: lncRNA (ENSSCUG00000009023.1)
Source: RNAcentral